RNAcentral lists this ribosomal RNA (335 nucleotides) under uncultured Fastidiosipila sp. Its description in RNAcentral is "bacterial SSU rRNA". It matches the Rfam family "Bacterial small subunit ribosomal RNA", at positions 1032 to 1382 of the family's 1533-position model. The record is from RNAcentral. Lineage: Bacteria; Bacillati; Bacillota; Clostridia; Eubacteriales; Oscillospiraceae.
GUACAGGUGCUGCAUGGCUGUCGUCAGCUCGUGUCGUGAGAUGUCGGUUAAGUCCGCUAACGAGCGCAACCCUCGCUGUGUGUUACAAGUGUCACACAGGACCGCCGGUCUUAAGCCGGAGGAAGGUGGGGAUGACGUCAAGUCAGCAUGGCCUUUAUGUCCAGGGCUACACACACGCUACAAUGGUCAGCACAAUAGGUAGCCAAGCCGCGAGGUGGAGCCAAUCCUCAAAGCUGGCCUCAGUUCAGAUCGCAGGCUGCAACCCGCCUGCGUGAAGCCGGAGUUGCUAGUAACCGCAGGUCAGCUAUACUGCGGUGAAUACGUUCCCGGGGCUU